GAUGAACGCUGGCGGCGUGCCUAAUACAUGCAAGUCGAGCGAGCAGAUGAGGAGCUUGCUCCUCUGACGUUAGCGGCGGACGGGUGAGUAACACGUGGAUAACCUACCUAUAAGACUGGGAUAACUUCGGGAAACCGGAGCUAAUACCGGAUAAUAUAUUGAACCGCAUGGUUCAAUAGUGAAAGACGGUUUUGCUGUCACUUAUAGAUGGAUCCGCGCCGCAUUAGCUAGUUGGUAAGGUAACGGCUUACCAAGGCAACGAUGCGUAGCCGACCUGAGAGGGUGAUCGGCCACACUGGACCUGAGACACGGUCCAGACUCCUACGGGAGGCAGCAGUAGGGAAUCUUCCGCAAUGGGCGAAAGCCUGACGGAGCAACGCCGCGUGAGUGAUGAAGGUCUUCGGAUCGUAAAACUCUGUUAUUAGGGAAGAACAAAUGUGUAAGUAACUAUGCACGUCUUGACGGUACCUAAUCAGAAAGCCACGGCUAACUACGUG
RNAcentral lists this ribosomal RNA (497 nucleotides) under uncultured bacterium. RNAcentral describes it as "partial 16S ribosomal RNA". It matches the Rfam family "Bacterial small subunit ribosomal RNA", at positions 28 to 507 of the family's 1533-position model. The record is from RNAcentral.